GGCAUGUAUACUUUGAUUGACAGCUACACCAGCAGACAGCAAGGGUCGGGGACGGGCUCACGUGUGGUGGAGAAAACAAAUGCGCAAGGGGUGUGCGUAAACUAGCAGGCUCUUCCCCAGAGUGCGAGCGUGAAGCAAGUGGUUGAAUUGCGCGCUCGUGUGUGGUUUAGUUAUCUAAACCAGUUAUCUAUUAUUGUUUAUUAUAAUUAAUAAGGAGGUCACAGCAGCAUUAUUUUAUCUUGACUUUGGCUUGAUAUAAAAUGGACUGAUUUUCUUUACUGUUUAUUUUUAUUCAGGCAAAAUCCACUGUAUAUGGACUCGGACUCUGAUGAGCCAUCAAGUGAACCGAAGAAACCACGUCUUUCACGCCCCCCUGAUGUGAGAGUUCCAGCAGCAUGGUCCUCACAACUGGCAAGAAAUGAAACGAUGGCAGCAUCCGCCACUGCGCUGGGCCGUACCACCAGCUGCAGGUCCCACAGAGAGAGGGUACCAGUAUAUCACCAUAUGGUUCCGUGCACAACCCAUUUCGUGCCCCACAAUAUGCACAAAACGAUGUGACCAUGCAAGGUGACAACGGGCAGCUUUUGAAAGGC
Long non-coding RNA from Gadus morhua (Atlantic cod), 593 nucleotides. RefSeq lists it as uncharacterized. The transcript has 4 exons. Lineage: Eukaryota; Metazoa; Chordata; Actinopteri; Gadiformes; Gadidae. The record is from RefSeq and is a predicted model, not a curated record.